This 445-nucleotide ribosomal RNA is filed under the name uncultured bacterium. Its description in RNAcentral is "bacterial SSU rRNA". It matches the Rfam family "Bacterial small subunit ribosomal RNA", at positions 330 to 792 of the family's 1533-position model. The record is from RNAcentral.
UCCAGACUCCUACGGGAGGCAGCAGUGGGGGAUAUUGCACAAUGGGGGAAACCCUGAUGCAGCGACGCCGCGUGUGGGAAGACGGUCCUCUGGAUUGUAAACCACUGUCCCCAGGGACGAAAAUGACGGUACCUGGGGAGGAAGCUCCGGCUAACUACGUGCCAGCAGCCGCGGUAAUACGUAGGGAGCGAGCGUUGUCCGGAAUUACUGGGUGUAAAGGGAGCGUAGGCGGGAUGGCAAGCAGAAUGUUAAAUCCAUCGGCUCAACCGGUGGCUGCGUUCUAAACUGCCGUUCUUGAGUGAAGUAGAGGCAGGCGGAAUUCCUAGUGUAGCGGUGAAAUGCGUAGAUAUUAGGAGGAACACCAGUGGCGAAGGCGGCCUGCUGGGCUUUAACUGACGCUGGGGCUCGAAAGCGUGGGGAGCAAACAGGAUUAGAUCCCCCCGUA